Pieris brassicae (large cabbage white) is the source of this 807-nucleotide long non-coding RNA. RefSeq lists it as uncharacterized. NCBI's taxonomy places the organism in Eukaryota, Metazoa, Arthropoda, Insecta, Lepidoptera, Pieridae. The record is from RefSeq and is a predicted model, not a curated record. The transcript is spliced from 4 exons.
UUCACCAGUAAAUACGAUUUUUUUUUAACUACUGUCACAGAUUACGCCAUUUAUUUAUUUGGGCAUCUUUUCAAUAUAACGCAAACAAUCAAAGAGUUCAACAACAACAAAGAGGACAAUGGUAUGUUAAAAUAAACACUAAAACAAAAGUUAAUAAAUACGAGUCAAAAUAUUCGAAGUCUUCUAGAUUUAACGGUGAAAGAACAUCUGUUGUGUGCACUGGUGGUUGGAUUUUCAGAAAUGGGCGCUGGUCUGUGUAAUAAUGGCGGAAAAUAAUUUAAUCUAAUGUAUAAACUAUGUUUCUUAGUUCAUUAAGACACAAUGGAUAAAUCGCUAUUGAAUACGCAAGUGUGAUUAUAUUUGGAGCACUAAUAUUCUCUGCGUUUUGGUCGAUUAAAUUCUUUAACGCUGUUUAUACUGCAUCAAAGCGUAACACGACUUCAACGACUUACAGUGCAGUACCUGUUACUACAGCUAUACCUUUUAGAAGAGAAUACAUAGAGUAUAUUGACUAAUUAUACUCUAAGACAGAAUACCUAAUUUGUUUUGUGGAUUAUACAAUCACAAUGGACAAUUCCUACUAACUGGUGUAAUGGUGUUUGGCUUAUAUUUAAUACUUCAUCAGGCGAAAAGAAACAUGCUUUCUGAUGAUGACUAUUCAUUGGACAAUGAUGACAUUAACUGGUUUGUUAAUACCACUACUGAAAUUAUGUAGAAGAUACCAAAGAUUAGCUUUAAUACAAUAAUUAAACAAUAAGCCUACUAACUAUAUAAACAAAAUGAACAUUAUCCAAAUAAAUAUUGAUU